GCCCAGGUGGCGAAAUCGGUAGACGCAAGGGACUUAAAAUCCCUCGGCUUUGGCCAUGCCGGUUCGAGUCCGGCCCUGGGCACCA
Molecule: transfer RNA, 85 nt
Filed under: Acidithiobacillus sulfuriphilus
Lineage: Bacteria; Pseudomonadati; Pseudomonadota; Acidithiobacillia; Acidithiobacillales; Acidithiobacillaceae
Description: tRNA-Leu
Rfam family: tRNA
About the family: Transfer RNA (tRNA) molecules are approximately 80 nucleotides in length. Their secondary structure includes four short double-helical elements and three loops (D, anti-codon, and T loops). Further hydrogen bonds mediate the characteristic L-shaped molecular structure. tRNAs have two regions of fundamental functional importance: the anti-codon, which is responsible for specific mRNA codon recognition, and the 3' end, to which the tRNAs corresponding amino acid is attached (by aminoacyl-tRNA synthetases). tRNAs cope with the degeneracy of the genetic code in two manners: having more than one tRNA (with a specific anti-codon) for a particular amino acid; and 'wobble' base-pairing, i.e. permitting non-standard base-pairing at the 3rd anti-codon position.
Source: RNAcentral